CUACGGAGGGUGCGAGCGUUAAUCGGAAUUACUGGGCGUAAAGCGCGCGUAGGCGGUUUGUUAAGUCGGAUGUGAAAUCCCCGGGCUCAACCUGGGACCUGCAUCCGAUACUGGCAGGCUAGAGUCUGGUAGAGGGGGGUAGAAUUCCUGGUGUAGCGGUGAAAUGCGUAGAUAUCCGGAGGAAUACCAGUGGCGAAGGCGGCCCCCUGGACUGAGACUGACGCUGAGGUGCGAAAGCGUGGGGAGCAAACAGGAUUAGAAACCCUAGUAGUCC
RNAcentral lists this ribosomal RNA (274 nucleotides) under uncultured bacterium. Its description in RNAcentral is "partial 16S ribosomal RNA". It matches the Rfam family "Bacterial small subunit ribosomal RNA", at positions 523 to 796 of the family's 1533-position model. The record is from RNAcentral.